GCACUGCUGAGGAGUCUUACAGCAGGACGAAACGGCUGUCCAGUGC
Molecule: non-coding RNA, 46 nt
Organism: Schistosoma margrebowiei
Lineage: Eukaryota; Metazoa; Platyhelminthes; Trematoda; Strigeidida; Schistosomatidae
Source: Rfam